GGGACAAUAGUAAAUGGUUUUACCGUUGGACUGCAAAUCUAAUUGGAAAAGGUUCAAUUCCUGCUUGUCCCU
This is a non-coding RNA of Extremus antarcticus, 72 nucleotides long. The record is from the annotation of a GenBank genome assembly. Lineage: Eukaryota; Fungi; Ascomycota; Dothideomycetes; Mycosphaerellales; Extremaceae.